RNAcentral lists this ribosomal RNA (253 nucleotides) under uncultured bacterium. RNAcentral's name for it is "partial 16S ribosomal RNA". It matches the Rfam family "Bacterial small subunit ribosomal RNA", at positions 524 to 776 of the family's 1533-position model. The record is from RNAcentral.
UACAGAGGUCUCAAGCGUUGUUCGGAUUCAUUGGGCGUAAAGGGUGCGUAGGCGGCGCGGUAAGUCGGAUGUGAAAUCUUGGAGCUUAACUCCGAAACUGCAUUCGAUACUGCCGUGCUUGAGGACUGGAGAGGAGACUGGAAUUUACGGUGUAGCGGUGAAAUGCGUAGAUAUCGUAAGGAAGACCAGUGGCGAAGGCGGGUCUCUGGACAGUUCCUGACGCUGAAGCACGAAGGCCAGGGGAGCAAACGGG